GCUCUCUGAUAUAUUGUUUUUAAGGGCCGCGGUAAUCUGACCGUGCAAAGGUAGCAUAAUAGUUAGUUUUUUAAUUGGAAUCUUGUAUGAAUGGUUGGACAAAAGAAGUACUGUCUUUAUUAUUAUUAUUGAAUUUAACUUUUAAGUGAAAAGGCUUAAAUUAUUUAAGAAGACGAUAAGACCCUAUAAAGCUUUAUAAAUAAAUUUUUAUUUAGUUGAAUUAUAUUAUAAAAUUUUAAUAAGGUUUAUUAUUUUAUUGGGGAGAUAAUAUUAUAAAUUUAGAUAACUGUUAAUAAUUAAUACAAAAAUAUUUGUUUAUAAUGAAUAAAAGAUCCUAUUUAGAGAUUUUAAGUUUAAGUUACUUUAGGGAUAACAGCGUUAUUUUUCUUGAGAGUUCAUAUCGAAAGAAUAGAUUGCGACCUCGAUGUUGAAUUAAAAUUUCUUAAUAAUUGCAGAAGUUAUUUUAGAAGGUCUGUUCGACCUUUAAAUUUUUA
RNAcentral lists this ribosomal RNA (494 nucleotides) under Ostracotheres tridacnae. RNAcentral describes it as "partial large subunit ribosomal RNA". The stretch from base 369 to 494 matches the Rfam family "Bacterial large subunit ribosomal RNA", at positions 2473 to 2598 of the family's 2925-position model. The record is from RNAcentral. Lineage: Eukaryota; Metazoa; Arthropoda; Malacostraca; Decapoda; Pinnotheridae.